RNAcentral lists this ribosomal RNA (469 nucleotides) under uncultured Methanolinea sp. RNAcentral describes it as "bacterial SSU rRNA". It matches the Rfam family "Archaeal small subunit ribosomal RNA", at positions 871 to 1337 of the family's 1478-position model. The record is from RNAcentral. Lineage: Archaea; Methanobacteriati; Methanobacteriota; Methanomicrobia; Methanomicrobiales; Methanoregulaceae.
CGGGGAGCACCACAACGGGUGGAGCCUGCGGUUUAAUUGGACUCAACGCCGGGCAGCUCACCGGAUAAGACAGCUGGAUGAUAGCCGGGCUGAAGACUCUGCUUGACUAGCUGAGAGGAGGUGCGUGGCCGUCGUCAGUUCGUACUGUGAAGCAUCCUGUUAAGUCAGGCAACGAGCGAGACCCACGCCAACAGUUGCCAGCAUGUCCUCCGGGACGAUGGGGGACACUGUUGGGACCGCUCUGCUAAAGAGGAGGAAGGAAUGGGCAACGGUAGGUCAGCAUGCCCCGAAUUAUCCGGGCUACACGCGGGCUACAAUGGUCAGGACAAUGGGUAUCGACACCGAGAGGUGGAGGCAAUCUCCUAAACCUGUCCUUAGUUCGGAUUGUGGGCUGCAACUCGCCCACAUGAAGCUGGAAUCCGUAGUAAUCGCGUUUCAAAAUAGCGCGGUGAAUAUGCCCCUGCUCCUU